GGCAGUUCUCAGGUGACACAUCCCAGAAUCGGGCUCCCUCCUCUCUGGUUCCGGGUGCAUCACCAGAGAACCGCA
Molecule: non-coding RNA, 75 nt
Organism: Myotis lucifugus (little brown bat)
Lineage: Eukaryota; Metazoa; Chordata; Mammalia; Chiroptera; Vespertilionidae
Source: Rfam